AUACGUAGGGGGCUAGCGUUAUCCGGAAUUACUGGGCGUAGAGGGUGCGUAGGUGGUUUCUUAAGUCAGGAGUGAAAGGCUACGGCUUAACCGUAGUAAGCCUUUGAAACUGGGAAACUUGAGUGCAGGAGAGGAGAGUGGAAUUCCUAGUGUAGCGGUGAAAUGCGUAGAUAUUAGGAGGAACACCAGUUGCGAAGGCGGCUCUCUGGACUGUAACUGACACUGAGGCGCGAAAGCGUGGGGAGC
This 246-nucleotide ribosomal RNA is filed under the name uncultured bacterium. RNAcentral's name for it is "partial 16S ribosomal RNA". It matches the Rfam family "Bacterial small subunit ribosomal RNA", at positions 523 to 769 of the family's 1533-position model. The record is from RNAcentral.